Long non-coding RNA from Esox lucius (northern pike), 1912 nucleotides. Lineage: Eukaryota; Metazoa; Chordata; Actinopteri; Esociformes; Esocidae. The record is from Ensembl.
CGCAUGCCACCUAAAACAUACCUGUUUGGGUGUGUAUUUACACAGAAUUUAUGGAAAAUAAAUAUUUAGGACGUGUUUUGGUUUGGGUAUUUGUCAGCCAGUUAUGACCAUUUCUGCCUUGGACUAGAUGUCAUUUAAGUAAUUUAAUAAUUGAAACCCUUUUUUUUUUGUUAAUUUUAAUUAUUCUUUUGCACCACUAUAUCCUGAGUGCCAGUCUGUUUUUGCCCGCAGGCCAACUCCUUACAGCCUGGUAGAUCAAACGCCAUCUUGCCAACUCGUGUUUGUUCGCAACAUUUAGGAUUUCAAAUUGUGUUGUCCGCAAGAUCACAGCUGUCCUCAAACAAAUACCUGGCUAUGCUAAUCUUGUCCAACACUCUGGGUGUCUCCAAACUUUUCUGUUUAGCUGUGUAUUGAUCAGUCUGCUGACUAUGAGGCUACUGUUAUCACCCAGAUUGCGGGAUGCAGGUUUUGGUUCCUGCCUGGCACUAAUACAGCCGAUUGUUAUUCUAAUCACUUUGCCGGCUAACUGCCCACCGACUGACUGUUUGGGUUGGAACAGAUCCCAAACAUGCACCUUCCGAGAACGUCCUAGGAACCGCUUGAGUAUUGAAGGUCAAGGAAGGUCAAAAACCUUUACAGAGUUGCAGUAUUCCAGUAACUUUCUCAAAAUUCCGAAGACAUCCUGGUUGAAAAGCUUUCAGGAUUUCUUGCUUAUUCCCCUCUGCUUCUGGAAAUCUUCUUAUUGGGAUUUUGGGAAAACCAUUCCUGGAAAAUCUUGCAAAUCCUUAACAAACACCCCUGUAAAAAGCGGCAGUCUAGCCAAUCAGUUCAUUGCCUAAUGCCUUUAUCACACGAGGAGCUAUAAUGAGUUAACAUCCUCAUUUCCAGGUGCUAAGUUUGGCCUUUCCCAUUCUGACGGUGAUUCAUAUUGAGGCAAUAUGACUGUUAUUUUCCAUUAUGUCUGGCAUUAUGUAUAAGUCCGGAGCUGAAUGUACUUUUGAUUUCUACUCGUGUUGUUGUAUUGAUACAGUGUAUCUGGGUGCUGAUUGGCUAUUUCCUCGUGUCCACAAUGAUGUUGUUUCACUGCAGUGUUGUGUUGCUGAAUCACUACUGAAUCAGCUCUGCAGAAUCCAUCUCAGUGCAUGAAGACUUUACACACACACACACACUCUAAUCAGUUGGCGUAAAACAUCUUAAUGCAUGUAACACUGUAGCGUGAAUCCAUGGUGGGAGACUGGCAGAAUUAGGGGACUGUUAGCUCCCUCUCUUGUGUGUUUGUCUUGACAGCUGCGAUGCUACAGACAGAGUCCUGUGACCAGCCUGACUAGGAGCAAAAUGGCCGCGAACAAGCUCAAACACUGAGGGACUGUAGCCGGGAUUCAAUCCGGAGAGCAGGAAAUCUGAGUCACGUAAAAAUGUGGCGGCAGUUCACGAUUUGUCGACACGUUCCUAGUGCCUCCGCGAACGCAGGAACACGUCCUGUACAUCGCAGUCGAGCCGCGGCUCAUAUGUCCAGAACUCUUGAUUGCAUCUAACUUGAAACUGUUCACAAUUAAGAAAAAAAAUGUUGUUUUUCUGUUGCAGAGCAUUCUGAACUGUUUUAAAUGCCUUGCUAUGUUGUGUACCAAUAAACAGAGCCAUGUUUAACUUCAGCAGUGCGUGUUUAGCAGUGUCGAAGUGUUGAAAUCGCCUAAUAGGGCUGAGGACCGAAGGUUUUCUCAGGAAAAGGGUUCCUGUGUCAGAUUUGGCAAACUAGUUAUUAUGCAAUGAGACCUAUAUAUUUUUUAUAUUUUUUAAAUAUGAAAAAUAAAAAUAAUGCUUUGUUUUGUUUUGUAAUUUUAAAGAGAGAAAAAUAAGGGCAUUCAUUUUUGGUUGUGAUACUUAAUAGAUUGUGAUCCUCAGGACAGUUUUA